CAGAGGUCUCGAGCGUUAGGCGGAAUCACUGGGCUUAAAGCGUGUGUAGGCGGAUCGGUAAGUACCUUGUGAAAUCCCACAGCUUAACUGUGGAACUGCUUGGUAUACUGCCAGUCUUGAGCCAGCUAGGGGCGACCGGAACAAAUGGUGGAGCGGUGAAAUGCGUAGAUAUCAUUUGGAACGCCAAUGGUGAAAACAGGUCGCUGGGGCUGUGCUGACGCUGAGACACGAAAGCCAGGGGAGCAAACGGGAUUAGAUACCCCGGUAGUCCUGGCCGUAAACGAUGUCGACUAGAUCGCAGUUCCUUCAACGGUAUUGCGGUCGAAGCAAAAGUGCUAAGUCGACCGCCUGGGAAGUACGGUCGCAAGGCUA
This 372-nucleotide ribosomal RNA is filed under the name uncultured organism. Its description in RNAcentral is "bacterial SSU rRNA". It matches the Rfam family "Bacterial small subunit ribosomal RNA", at positions 526 to 896 of the family's 1533-position model. The record is from RNAcentral.